This 496-nucleotide ribosomal RNA is filed under the name uncultured bacterium. RNAcentral's name for it is "partial 16S ribosomal RNA". It matches the Rfam family "Bacterial small subunit ribosomal RNA", at positions 28 to 506 of the family's 1533-position model. The record is from RNAcentral.
GAUGAACGCUGGCGGCGUGCCUAAUACAUGCCAGUCGAGCGAACAGACGAGGAGCUUGCUCCUUCGACGUUAGCGGCGGACGGGUGAGUAACACGUAGGUAACCUACCUAUAAGACUGGGAUAACUUCGGGAAACCGGAGCUAAUACCGGAUAAUAUUUCGAACCGCAUGGUUCGAUAGUGAAAGAUGGCUUUGCUAUCACUUAUAGAUGGACCUGCGCCGUAUUAGCUAGUUGGUAAGGUAACGGCUUACCAAGGCAACGAUACGUAGCCGACCUGAGAGGGUGAUCGGCCACACUGGAACUGAGACACGGACCAGACUCCUACGGGAGGCAGCAGUAGGGAAUCUUCCGCAAUGGGCGAAAGCCUGACGGAGCAACGCCGCGUGAGUGAUGAAGGUCUUCGGAUCGCAAAACUCUGUUAUUAGGGAAGAACAAACGUGUAAGUAACUGUGCACGUCUUGACGGUACCUAAGCAGAAAGCCACGGCUAACUACGU